This is a long non-coding RNA of Helianthus annuus (common sunflower), 222 nucleotides long. RefSeq lists it as uncharacterized. The transcript is spliced from 3 exons. Lineage: Eukaryota; Viridiplantae; Streptophyta; Magnoliopsida; Asterales; Asteraceae. The record is from RefSeq and is a predicted model, not a curated record.
GAUUUGUGAUCACCUUGACUAAGGGAUCGUAAGGCAACACGAGUGAGGCGUCGGGAAGUCAAGCCGGUGCGGACGCUCGUUUAAAGGGAAAGCUUUGAGCUUUCAAGUAAGUCAACCAAGCGGAUGGUGAUCAACGCAAGGCUUAUGAACCGAACACAUUCAAGAAGUAGUUCCGAAAAUUUUGUCUUAGAUGAUCAUUAGUAAUAAUUUUGUAAUAGAAGG